AUUAAAACAAAUCUAAUGGCAUUUACAAAUUCACGCCGCAUCGGUACGUUUCCCGCAAAAUUGUUCAACAAAGCAGUCGAUAAUUAAUGGGAAUCAAGGAUGUAGUGAAGUUAGCGUUAAGCCCGCCUAUUCUACAAGGGAAACUCAACUCACAAAGAUACCAUAUCAUAAACCGGGUCGUCGUUGAAGACCGAGUUGAAGACUUUCUGGAUGAUCUUCCCUUAGUAGAGAGAAAUAAUAUA
This is a long non-coding RNA of Photinus pyralis (common eastern firefly), 242 nucleotides long. RefSeq lists it as uncharacterized. The record is from RefSeq and is a predicted model, not a curated record. The transcript has 3 exons. Lineage: Eukaryota; Metazoa; Arthropoda; Insecta; Coleoptera; Lampyridae.